GACGAACGCUGGCGGCGUGCUUAACACAUGCAAGUCGAACGGAAAGGCCCUGCUUUUGUGGGGUGCUCGAGUGGCGAACGGGUGAGUAACACGCGAGUAACCUGCCCUUGACUUUGGGAUAACUUCAGGAAACUGGGGCUAAUACCGGAUAGGAGCUCCUGCUGCAUGGUGGGGGUUAGAAAGUUUCGGCGGUUGGGGAUGGACUCGCGGCUUAUCAGCUUGUUGGUGGGGUAGUGGCUUACCAAGGCUUUGACGGGUAGCCGGCCUGAGAGGGUGACCGGCCACAUUGGGACUGAGAUACGGCCCAGACUCCUACGGGAGGCAGCAGUGGGGAAUAUUGCACAAUGGGCGGAAGCCUGAUGCAGCAACGCCGCGUGCGGGAUGACGGCCUUCGGGUUGUAAACCGCUUUCGCCUGUGACGAAGCGUGAGUGACGGUAAUGGGUAAAGAAGCACCGGCUAACUACGUGCCAGCAGCCGCGGUGAUACGUAGGGUGCAAGCGUUGUCCGGAUUUAUUGGGCGUAAAGGGCUCGUAGGUGGUUGAUCGCGUCGGAAGUGUAAUCUUGGGGCUUAACCCUGAGCGUGCUUUCGAUACGGGUUGACUUGAGGAAGGUAGGGGAGAAUGGAAUUCCUGGUGGAGCGGUGGAAUGCGCAGAUAUCAGGAGGAACACCAGUGGCGAAGGCGGUUCUCUGGGCCUUUCCUGACGCUGAGGAGCGAAAGCGUGGGGAGCGAACAGGCUUAGAUACCCUGGUAGUCCACGCUGUAAACGGUGGGUACUAGGUGUGGGGUCCAUUCCACGGGUUCCGUGCCGUAGCUAACGCUUUAAGUACCCCGCCUGGGGAGUACGGCCGCAAGGCUAAAACUCAAAGGAAUUGACGGGGCCCCGCACAAGCGGCGGAGCAUGCGGAUUAAUUCGAUGCAACGCGUAGAACCUUACCUGGGUUUGACAUGGAUCGGGAGCGCUCAGAGAUGGGUGUGCCUCUUUUGGGGUCGGUUCACAGGUGGUGCAUGGCUGUCGUCAGCUCGUGUCGUGAGAUGUUGGGUUAAGUCCCGCAACGAGCGCAACCCUUGUUCACUGUUGCCAGCACGUUAUGGUGGGGACUCAGUGGAGACCGCCGGGGUCAACUCGGAGGAAGGUGGGGAUGACGUCAAGUCAUCAUGCCCCUUAUGUCCAGGGCUUCACGCAUGCUACAAUGGCUGGUACAGAGAGUGGCGAGCCUGUGAGGGUGAGCGAAUCUCGGAAAGCCGGUCUCAGUUCGGAUUGGGGUCUGCAACUCGACCUCAUGAAGUCGGAGUCGCUAGUAAUCGCAGAUCAGCAACGCUGCGGUGAAUACGUUCCCGGG
RNAcentral lists this ribosomal RNA (1343 nucleotides) under uncultured bacterium. RNAcentral describes it as "16S ribosomal RNA". It matches the Rfam family "Bacterial small subunit ribosomal RNA", at positions 28 to 1378 of the family's 1533-position model. The record is from RNAcentral.